This 333-nucleotide long non-coding RNA is filed under the name dengue virus type 2. Its description in RNAcentral is "Dengue virus type 2 partial sfRNA1". The stretch from base 243 to 314 matches the Rfam family "Flavivirus DB element". The record is from RNAcentral. Lineage: Riboviria; Orthornavirae; Kitrinoviricota; Flasuviricetes; Amarillovirales; Flaviviridae.
UAGAAGUCAGGUCGGAUUAAGCCAUAGUACGGAAAAAACUAUGCUACCUGUGAGCCCCGUCCAAGGACGUUAAAAGAAGUCAGGCCACUACAAGUGCCAUAACUUGAGCAAACUAUGCAGCCUGUAGCUCCACCUGGGAAGGUGUAAAAAAUCUGGGAGGCCACAAACCAUGGAAGCUGUACGCAUGGCGUAGUGGACUAGCGGUUAGAGGAGACCCCUCCCUUGCAAGUCGCAGCAACAAUGGGGGCCCAAGGUGAGAUGAAGCUGUAAUCUCACUGGAAGGACUAGAGGUUAGAGGAGACCCCCCCGAAAUGAAAAACAGCAUAUUGACGC